This 48-nucleotide non-coding RNA is filed under the name Trichobilharzia regenti. Lineage: Eukaryota; Metazoa; Platyhelminthes; Trematoda; Strigeidida; Schistosomatidae. The record is from RNAcentral.
AUCCAGCUGACGAGUCCCAAAUAUAACGAAAUGCGCUUUAUCCUGGAU